UACGAAGGCAGCAGUGGGGAAUAUUGCACAAUGGGCGAAAGCCUGAUGCAGCUAUGCCGCGUGUAUGAAGAAGGCCUUAGGGUUGUAAAGUACUUUCAUCGGGGAGGAAAAAACAAAACUAAUAAUUUUAUUUCUUGACGUUACCCGAAAAAGAAGCACCGGCUAACUCCGUGCCAGCAGCCGCGGUAAUACGGAGGGUGCUAGCGUUAAUCAGAAUUACUGGGCGUAAAGAGCACGUAGGUGGUUUUUUUAAAGUCAGAUGUGAAAUCCCUGGGCUUAACCUAGGAACUGCAUUUUGAAACUGAAAUACUAGAGUAUCGUAGAGGGAGGUAGAAUUCUAGGUGUAGCGGUGAAAUGCGUAGAUAUCUGGAGGAAUACCUGUGGCGAAAGCGGCCUCCUAAACGAAUACUGACACUGAGGUGCGAAAGCGUGGGGAGCAAACAGGGAUUAGAUACC
RNAcentral lists this ribosomal RNA (456 nucleotides) under uncultured bacterium. Its description in RNAcentral is "bacterial SSU rRNA". It matches the Rfam family "Bacterial small subunit ribosomal RNA", at positions 340 to 786 of the family's 1533-position model. The record is from RNAcentral.